GUCGACCGUGGUGUAGUUGGUAGCACCGCUAGUUCUGUUUAAUGCUCAGAGACCUCGGUUCGAUUCCGGGCGGUGGCA
Molecule: non-coding RNA, 78 nt
Organism: Rhypophila decipiens
Lineage: Eukaryota; Fungi; Ascomycota; Sordariomycetes; Sordariales; Naviculisporaceae
Source: the annotation of a GenBank genome assembly